AACGAACGCUGGCGGCGUGGAUAAGACAUGCAAGUCGAACGCUGGUUACGAGGUAGCAAUAUUUCGUAAUCGGAGUGGCGAACGGGUGCGUAACACGUGGGCAAUUUGCCGUGAAGUUUGGGACAACUCCGAGAAAUCGGAGCUAAUACCGGAUGUGAUUAUCUGGGGGGCAUCCCUGGAUGGUUAAAAGUUGGGGACCGCAAGGCCUGACGCUUCAUGAUAAGCCCGCGGCCUAUCAGCUAGUUGGUGAGGUAACGGCCCACCAAGGCUAAGACGGGUAGCUGGUCUGAGAGGACGACCAGCCACACUGGAACUGAGACACGGUCCAGACACCUACGGGUGGCAG
RNAcentral lists this ribosomal RNA (346 nucleotides) under uncultured Verrucomicrobiota bacterium. Its description in RNAcentral is "bacterial SSU rRNA". It matches the Rfam family "Bacterial small subunit ribosomal RNA", at positions 29 to 351 of the family's 1533-position model. Lineage: Bacteria; Pseudomonadati; Verrucomicrobiota. The record is from RNAcentral.